CCUACGGGUGGCAGCAGUGAGGAAUAUUGGUCAAUGGACGAGAGUCUGAACCAGCCAAGUAGCGUGAAGGAUGACUGCCCUAUGGGUUGUAAACUUUUUUUAUAUGGGAAUAAAACGUUCCACGUGUGGGAUUUUGUAUGUACCAUAUGAAUAAGGAUCGGCUAACUCCGUGCCAGCAGCCGCGGUAAUACGGAGGAUCCGAGCGUUAUCCGGAUUUAUUGGGUUUAAGGGGAGCGUAGGUGGAUUGUUAAGUCAGUUGUGAAAGUUUACGGCUCAACCGUGAAAUUGCAGUUGAAACUGGCAGUCUUGAGUGCAGUAGAGGUAAGCGGAAUUCGUGGUGUAGCGGUGAAAUGCUUAGAUAUCACGAAGAACUCCAGUUGCGAAGGCAGUUCACUGGACUGCAACUGACACCGAGGCUCGAAAGUGUGGGUAUCAAACAGGAUUAGAUACCCGUGUAGUC
RNAcentral lists this ribosomal RNA (460 nucleotides) under uncultured bacterium. Its description in RNAcentral is "partial 16S ribosomal RNA". It matches the Rfam family "Bacterial small subunit ribosomal RNA", at positions 338 to 795 of the family's 1533-position model. The record is from RNAcentral.